RNAcentral lists this ribosomal RNA (449 nucleotides) under uncultured bacterium. Its description in RNAcentral is "partial 16S ribosomal RNA". It matches the Rfam family "Bacterial small subunit ribosomal RNA", at positions 29 to 523 of the family's 1533-position model. The record is from RNAcentral.
AACGAACGCUGGCGGCAUGCCUAACACAUGCAAGUCGAACGAGAUCUUCGGGUCUAGUGGCGCACGGGUGCGUAGCGCGUGGGAAUCUGCCCUUUGGUUCGGAAUAACAGUUGGAAACGACUGCUAAUACCGGAUGGUGACGAAAGUCCAAAGAUUUAUCGCCAGAGGAUGAGCCCGCGUAGGAUUAGCUAGUUGGUGUGGUAAAGGCGCACCAAGGCGACGAUCCUUAGCUGGUCUGAGAGGAUGAUCAGCCACACUGGGACUGAGACACGGCCCAGACUCCUACGGGAGGCAGCAGUGGGGAAUAUUGGACAAUGGGCGAAAGCCUGAUCCAGCAAUGCCGCGUGAGUGAUGAAGGCCUUAGGGUUGUAAAGCUCUUUUACCCGGGAUGAUAAUGACAGUACCGGGAGAAUAAGCUCCGGCUAACUCCGUGCCAGCCGCCGCGGUAA